UUAUCAAGUAACCCUUGUGGCGUCAACCCGUCUUUCUAUCCGAACUUAUCACUUUAAUCCCAAAAGUGUGGCGUUCGAUUCGUACUGAGGUUCCUAUCAUUUUUGAUAGCGGGUCGAAGUUUCUAUCCACUUAACAAACCUUCCAUCAACACCCUACCAACCUAAGCAUUCUCCUAAGUUACGGGUUAACACACUCUUAUUGUGUUAGUUCGGCUUUUGAAUACUUAGCCCAAACUUCAUCCAUUGAUUUAUGUUUUAUUUCCUAAACCAACAAAACUUUAUUGAGCCUAAAUAAUUCCUUUUCUUCUAGCCUAUUUUGUAAAGCUUUCAAAUUACUCCAAUUCACGAUCGGGCACAUCAACGACUCGACUCUCCUUCCCGGGCCGGGGCGUAUCAUUUGGUAUCAGAGCUAGCUAAAUCGGAGUAAGAUCGACGUUAUCGGUAUUACGGUAUUGUAAAAAAAAAUAUAAAAAAAAAAUUUGAAAAAAAAAAAAAUUUGAAAAAAAAAAUUCAAAAAAAAAAAAGUUUGUAUUCAAUUUAUUUGUACUUUUUGUAUUUAGUAUUGAAGAAAAAAAAAGAAGAAAAAAAAAUUCGGAAUUAAAACAAAAAAAGAAGAAAAAAAAUCAAAAUUGAAAAAAAAAAAAAAGUGAUUGAAAUUCGUUUUGGGUUUGUAAAAGCAUUGCUUGUUGCCCGAAGGACCAUAUCUAUAUAGCCACACUUAACCAUUUCUAUUUUUGUUUGAUAGCCUACCAUUUCCGACGUCAUUACCACCAAGCCAAAUUAAUUUUGUAAGCCGACGCCAAACGAUAUUAAUUUGUCGACUUAGUUUGCGAAGAACUUCGAGAGGCGAAAAUCGAGUGGAAAAAGGCAAGAGUGUUUGGUGAGACCAUUCGAGAGAAGUAAAAGCCAAAUUUGUGCGAAUUUUUCUUUGCGAGUGAAACGUGAGAUUUUUGUGGUGAGAAUUAAAUCAUGUUUCAAGAAGAAUUUUCUGAAUCAGAUUUCCAAUAUUUAAUGCAAGAAAUGCGUAGAAUGGUGAAAUCAAAUUUUGAUAUAUUGCAUGAUAGAUUGGAUCGAAUAGAGACAAGAGCCCAACAAAAACAAAUUCCAUCGAGACAAGAGACGGAGUUAAGAUCAUUCCGACGACACUACUCGACAAGAGACUCUUAUCAAGACGUCUAUUCAACAAGGCGUUCGAGACCAAGAGAAGCAAACUACGAGUUUGAGUCCUUCCGAGAUGAUAUACAAAAAGGUAAUCAUGUCUCUACAAAUGCCUCAAUUUAUUCAACUACGAAGGAUUAUUUACGAAGAGGCGAACGUGUUUCAAGAAUGUCAAAGUACUCGAAUACGGAGGGUUAUUCACAAAGAGAUGAUCGUGACUUGCAUGAUGAAUCUGCCAUUUCUUUCAAACGAGAAGCUUGUCAUUAUGGUUCUUAUAAGUUAUCAUCUUCUUGUAAUGAAAGAACAAGACAAAAAGAAAAUAGAAGAAAAGAAAGACAAGAGAUGUUGAUGCAAGAAAAUGAACGAAUCUUGAAUGAAAUUGAGAGAAGAAAAAAAGAAAAUGAGAGUGAGAAAAAGAAAAAAGAAUUUGAGAUUGAGAUUGAUAUUGAUAUUGAUAUUGAGAAAAAAAUUGAAAAGGAAAAAGAUGUUGAAAAAGAAAUGAGAGAAAAGGAAGAUGGUGAGCGAGAACAAGAAAAAGAGAGGAAAAUUUUAACUAACCCCCGAGAUGUUUGUUUUUGUUCUGUUCCUUCUUUUCAGGUUUCGACAAAUCUCUAUGACGAAUAUCAACUUCAAUAUCUUCCUGACGAGCGACGUUUUUGCCUGACCGAAAAAGGUAAGGAUGAAGUUGAAAUUGAACCACAUGAGCCCGAAGGUAAGAUAGGUAAGGAACACCUAGCACUUGAAUUUCCAUUAUCUUCCUUGAAUGUGGAUAAACAUAAUGUCGACUUCAUCUUUGUAAAAGCUCCAUGCCAAAAAGUGGUUGAUUUUCCUUCAUUGAUUAGUGUUUUAAUCUCAAAUGGUGGUGAGACGAGUUUUCCCAAAACAAAUUUUUGCGUUGACAAGUUUGGUUUAAUGAACUCUUUGCUACUCUUUGGCGUUAAUAAUCAAAAUCAAAUUUUUAAACCCAGAAUCUGUUUUAGUACAUUUGUUGGGAAAUUCAAGCAUGACCAAUUGUGUGUGAACAAUUUCUAUUGUUUUGAUGCUUGGUUGUUCAAUAAGGAAACGAGGUAUGAUAAAUUUGAUUUCAAUUCAAUCCUUAGUCUAUUUCUGUGGUUAUACCUGAAGUACGUAUUUCAUUUCGACAAGGUUAAUUCCACCAAGGAGCUUCGAUUGCAUUACAAGUCCAAGGAGAGAAGAUUUGUGAUGAUCGAUGAAGGUAAAAAUGAUCCUUGUUUUUCCAUUCUUCAAGGUGAACAAGGUAUGACUCAUGAGAACUUUAAAAUCUUUCUGCCCUAUUCGGUUGGAAAUAAACAUCUUUUUGAAGAAUUGGUUUUUGCAAAGUAUUUCAAUCGUGAAGUGUUUAAUUGUUCAGCUUUAUUUGAAAGUGAUUUAUCUAUUUUGAUUGAUGCUGAUAAUGCGAAUUUGGAAGAACCCAUCGUUCAAUUUCCAUUGCCAAGUUUUAUUGUGCGAGAUUUCUAUUCAUUUGUUUGUGAUGAAAGGAUUAUGCUGAUGGUAUCUUCAUUUCGUUUGAAAUAUGUUGGUAAGACUAUUAUUGUUGAUAAAUUUGUUGGUGAAUCAAUAGGCAAACGUCCACUACAUGUUUCAAUCGAACAAAAGCAUGAAUCCAAUGGUUUUUUUUAUUUACCUGAUAAUGUAGAAAAUGUGUGGUCGUUGAAUUGUUGUGAAAGCUUACUAUGUUUGAACGAAGAAAUUUGGAAAAGAUUCAAGGCAAAUGAACAUUUUAACAUACCUGAUUUUGUGAGCCUAUCCAUUCCAUGCUAUCGUAAAGGGUUGUAUAAGGACAAACUUUUUAUGAGGGACAAGAAGCUCGACUUGAGGGCAAGUCGCUUCGAAGAAGGGGGGGAUGAUACGACCCCGCCCCGGAAACAUUUUUGGUUCAGCUCAUUCGAGCUCAAUUCAGCUCAUUAAGCUCGUUAUUAGCUCACUAGCUCAUUUAAUUUAAUUUGCUGGAAUAAAUUAAUUAGUUAAGUUAGUUAUUUUAGCUUAAAUAAUUACUAAGUAUUUAAUUAAGAAAUCUGGACAUUUUAAAUAUGUUUUAUUGGUUUUAAUGCAUGCUUUAAAUUUGUCUUAAGACUAUUUAAAUGUGUUCUAUUUAGUACAGCUUUUAAUGUGUCUGGACAGAUUUAAUGCUGUUGUUUAAUGUGUCUUUAGUGCUUUAAAGUGCCGAAUUUAAUAUGUCUAAUUGUUGACUUAAUUCAGCCGAAUUAAUGAACCACUUUAAGGUGUCUUGUGGCUGCCGAAUUUAAUUGUAAUGUGCAUGAAUUAUUUGACCGAAUUUAUUUUGUGUCUGCAGGUCAUUGAAUUCGGCUAAAUGGCAAAGGAAACAUGCAUUUAAGGAGAUGUUCCCAUGCAUGGACGGCAUUAAUUAGUUGCUGGAGCUUGCAUGCAUGGCCGAAUUUAAUGAGCAGCAAGGGAGAUGUUCCCAUGCAUGGAACGGCAUUUAAAGGAAGCAAAGACAUGGAUUUAAUGAGAUGUUCCCAUGCAUGGACGGCAUUAAUGAAAGCAUGCAAGGGGGACGUUUUUGAAUGCCAUUAAAGCUGGUAUUGCUUCGAGUACAGCAAAGAGCUGUUGUUUGGGGAAUUUCCAAGUGGCCAUUCGGCCAAAACAUGUUUGUUGCUUGCUGUUUAAACCAAGGUUGAAGUUUCAUGCUUCCAAAGAGCAUUAAUGUGCCGUCUCAAUUAAGAGAAUGCAUGAGCAGCAAAUUAAAACCUGCAUUUAAGCUGCCGUUUGAGCUCACCUAGGAGCCUUUUUCGUGGGAAACAAAGGAGCCUUAAAAGCACCAUCCAAAUUGAAGGGAUGAAUGGGCAGAUUCUAGAAGUCAAAUUUAUUACCCAUGAUGAACAAACAUUUGCUUCAUGACUAAGGAUGCAUCUAUGGAUGGCAAGGGGGGGACGAAUGUGACUUAAAUUUCAUUCAAUGGAUGAACAUAUAUCAUUAAAAUCGGUUCAUGGGCUGAUUCAUGUUACUUAUUAAUGGCCAGAAUUGGCUAUUCAUGUCCUAGUUUUAGUAUAAAUAGUUGGCUUGAAAACAUGUAAAAGGUUAGAAAAUAUACUUUUAAACUUUAUAUGAAAUUUGUUUACUUUGUGAGUUUGUUUUCAACUCUCAUUGUUCUCCAAAGACUCGUCUGACUUAUCAAGUAACCCUUGUGGCGUCAACCCGUCUUUCUAUCCGAACUUAUCACUUUAAUCCCAAAAGUGUGGCGUUCGAUUCGUACUGAGGUUCCUAUCAUUUUUGAUAGCGGGUCGAAGUUUCUAUCCACUUAACAAACCUUCCAUCAACACCCUACCAACCUAAGCAUUCUCCUAAGUUACGGGUUAACACACUCUUAUUGUGUUAGUUCGGCUUUUGAAUACUUAGCCCAAACUUCAUCCAUUGAUUUAUGUUUCAUUUCCUAAACCAACAAAACUUUAUUGAGCCUAAAUAAUUCCUUUUCUUCUAGCCUAUUUUGUAAAGCUUUCAAAUUACUCCAAUUCACGAUCGGGCACAUCAACGACUCGGAUUCAUUAACCGGGC
RNAcentral lists this long non-coding RNA (4692 nucleotides) under Gossypium barbadense (sea-island cotton). RNAcentral describes it as "long non-coding RNA (GBAR_LNC005382)". The record is from RNAcentral. Lineage: Eukaryota; Viridiplantae; Streptophyta; Magnoliopsida; Malvales; Malvaceae.